GGAAAAGAAAACAUUAAAUGAAAAUGUGAGCGGAUGGAGGCUGCUGCGAGGAGCGCUGGGCUGCUGCGCCAGUGCCCUCUCCUGGGCAGAGGGAGCCGAGCAGAGCCGGGCUGGGUGACAAGCAUGAAGCCCUACACUGAUCCGGAUGGAGAUGAACACCACCCAACCCGAAACGCCCCGAGCUCCCGAUCGGAGCGAUGCAUCGCGGCGGAGGUAGCAGCCAAUGGAAGAGGAGCUGCCUGGUUAUCAUCGUUAGUAUUGAGAAGCGUCAUGCACUGCUCGGGAAGACUUUUUGGGAGCGGGCAGAGACAUCGCUCCCCUCCGAACGAGUUGUCUGCUAGAGCCGGAUUUUGGCAAACGGCGCCAGGUUUCCCUGGUUCAAUUUGCACACGGGAUGACAAAUGAAUAUCAUAGUAUAUAUUCCGCACACACACCCCUCUCUCCCCCCCCCCCUCCUUCCCCUCCCCAUCCUCGAAGUACCCGAGAAUAAGCAAUGAAAACAAAGGUAGUUUUGUAUUUUAAACGGAGGAGGGGAAAAACACGAUACACGAGGGCUGUUCCCACGGGUGGGUGGGAGUGGAAAAGCAGUUCCCAUUCGCGUCGCCCGCACAUACCAUCCCUGCUCCCUCCCCGUCGGGGCCACGCGUGGCACGGAGCUGCCCGAAGGGAUAACGUUGGGGGCACUCCAAAGGGGAUGUGGGGGGAAAUCCCGGGGGAAAGUGGCCUCCUGCAACCCCUUUUUUUUCUGUCGCGGGUCCUCGAGGGAGGCUGCUGGGAUGCUGGGGGAGAAGUUCGUGGGACCUCACCUAGAGAAGGGGUUGGAGGGGUUUCCCCAUGGGUUUUCCCCGUGCCGGGGGUUAAGAGAGGGGGGAGCGCGACCCGCACAGCCCCCGCUUUGGGGGAAUGGGGCUGAGAAAUUUCCAACACAUUUCUAAACGCAACGAAAAAAGCCGCUGGGACGGCGCCGGUGGCGGCAGCCGCAAAGUCUCCGACCCCGCCGGCCUCGUCCAGGUGAGCGGACUCUAAACCGUGCCCCCAUCCUCCUCCUCCUCUUCCUCCUCCUCUUCCUCCUCCUCCCCGGCCCCGCACGCACACGGGGAAAUGAAAGUCAUUUGUUGAGAGCGGAAAGGAGAGAGAGAAAAAAAAAAAAAAGCAGGAAAUAACUGAGGGUGGUUGACGAUAUUGUUAUCAUUAUCGUUGUUGUUAUUCUUAUUACUACUCCGGGGGUAGCGAACGACCGCCAAUGGCAGCGCGGGGCCGCUCCGGCGGGAGCCGAAGUUGCCUCCGGGAGACUGCGGGGGGAGCGCGGAGGUUGCGGGGCUGCGGACCCCACCGUCGG
RNAcentral lists this long non-coding RNA (1339 nucleotides) under Gallus gallus (chicken). RNAcentral's name for it is "lncRNA (ENSGALG00010026080.1)". The record is from RNAcentral. Lineage: Eukaryota; Metazoa; Chordata; Aves; Galliformes; Phasianidae.